Molecule: long non-coding RNA, 263 nt
Filed under: Crocodylus porosus (Australian saltwater crocodile)
Lineage: Eukaryota; Metazoa; Chordata; Crocodylia; Crocodylidae
Description: lncRNA (ENSCPRG00005016687.1)
Source: RNAcentral
CCACAAAAGGAUCUAUGAUAGUGACAGCAAUCCUGCAUUGGUGAAAGAAGUAGUGGAAUCCAAAGAAGCAGUAGAAUCAAUGCGAAUCCUCUGCAUGGGGACAAGGGAAGAGUUAGACGGUUCAUAUAAGUGUUUCCCGAGUGCCCCUGUGUAACUAUCACUGAAAGAUACACCGGAAGUCACCUUGGAGGUGAUCUGAGCUCAGUAAAAUUCGUUAUGAUUUGAGAAUACUCACAUGCACAGAAGUCCUGGAACCCACUUAC